This 462-nucleotide ribosomal RNA is filed under the name uncultured bacterium. RNAcentral's name for it is "bacterial SSU rRNA". It matches the Rfam family "Bacterial small subunit ribosomal RNA", at positions 1 to 448 of the family's 1533-position model. The record is from RNAcentral.
CCCUUAGAGUUUGAUCCUGGCUCAGGAUGAACGCUGGCGGCGUGCUUAACACAUGCAAGUCGAACGGGAAACAUUUCAUUGAGGCUUCGGCGGAUUUGGUCUGUUUCUAGUGGCGGACGGGUGAGUAACGCGUGGGUAACCUGCCUUGUACUGGGGGAUAACAGCCAGAAAUGGCUGCUAAUACCGCAUAAGCGCACGGGACCGCAUGGUCCUGUGUGAAAAACUCCGGUGGUAUAAGAUGGACCCGCGUUGGAUUAGCUGGUUGGCAGGGCAGCGGCCUACCAAGGCGACGAUCCAUAGCCGGCCUGAGAGGGUGAACGGCCACAUUGGGACUGAGACACGGCCCAGACUCCUACGGGAGGCAGCAGUGGGGAAUAUUGCACAAUGGGGGAAACCCUGAUGCAGCGACGCCGCGUGAAGGAAGAAGUAUCUCGGUAUGUAAACUUCUAUCAGCAGGGAAGA